UACGUAGGGACCGAGCGUUGUCCGGAUUCAUUGGGCGUAAAGAGCUCGUAGGCGGCUGUUCAAGUCGAACGUGAAAACUCGGAGCUCAACUCCGAGCCUGCGUUCGAUACUGGACGGCUAGAGUCUGGUAGGGGGAUCGUGGAAUUCCUGGGUGUAGCGGUGGAAUGCGCAGAGUAUCAGGAGGAACACCGGUGGCGAAGGCGGGAUCCUGGGCCAGUACUGACGCUGAGGAGCGAAAGCGUGGGGAGCAAACAGGG
Molecule: ribosomal RNA, 257 nt
Filed under: uncultured bacterium
Lineage: Bacteria
Description: partial 16S ribosomal RNA
Rfam family: Bacterial small subunit ribosomal RNA
Source: RNAcentral